This is a non-coding RNA of Mycena haematopus, 92 nucleotides long. Lineage: Eukaryota; Fungi; Basidiomycota; Agaricomycetes; Agaricales; Mycenaceae. The record is from the annotation of a GenBank genome assembly.
GGCACAGUGGCGCAGCGGUGCGCGUCGGGAUCCAGUAUGUAAUUGACAAAUAUGACACCCAGAGGUACCCCGUUCGAAUCGGGGCUCUGCCU